Molecule: non-coding RNA, 30 nt
Filed under: Mus musculus (house mouse)
Lineage: Eukaryota; Metazoa; Chordata; Mammalia; Rodentia; Muridae
Source: RNAcentral
UACUCAGGAGAUCAAUUGAGGCAUGCUUCC